This 61-nucleotide small nuclear RNA is filed under the name Felis catus (domestic cat). RNAcentral describes it as "U4 spliceosomal RNA". It matches the Rfam family "U4 spliceosomal RNA", at positions 1 to 61 of the family's 138-position model. Rfam says of the family: U4 small nuclear RNA (U4 snRNA) is a component of the major U2-dependent spliceosome. The record is from Rfam by way of RNAcentral. RNAcentral also lists the same sequence under 3 other names. Lineage: Eukaryota; Metazoa; Chordata; Mammalia; Carnivora; Felidae.
AGCUUUGCGCAGUGGCAGUAUCGUAGCCAAUGACGUUUAUCCGAGGUGCGAUUAUUGCUAU